RNAcentral lists this long non-coding RNA (5805 nucleotides) under Taeniopygia guttata (zebra finch). RNAcentral's name for it is "lncRNA (ENSTGUG00000023481.1)". Lineage: Eukaryota; Metazoa; Chordata; Aves; Passeriformes; Estrildidae. The record is from RNAcentral.
CGUACAAUUACACAGCUCAUAAAUAGGAGGACACCACACUCCUGCACAAGCGCACAUGUCCACAUAAAACCUUUAAUUACAGUUGCAAGCAGAUUAUAGAGAUUUUACAAAUAAGUUAUUCCAACUGUGGCAAUUGUUAGCACCACCUCUUGGAAAGAACCUCCAUCUGCACAGGGCUUCUCCCAGCAGUGCCUCUCAGUGCUGUGCUGAGGACUAUGGUACCUGCAGAGCCAGUCAUUAUCAAGAAAAGCAUUAUUAAAAACAGUUUGAUGGGUUUUAUUGUUGCUAUUCUCGUUUCAAUUAUUUAGAUAUUGCCACCUCUUUAAAUUAUUUGAGUAUUUAGAAACACUGACUCCUGAUAAUCAAAGGUGUAGUCAAAUGAAAAAGCGUGUGUGCCAGAUUCAGUGAACUCCUCGAAAGUUUAACACCAGAGCUAAAGAGAAAAACAUAUGGCAAAUACAAAUGAUUAGACAAUUAUAGAUGCUAAGAUUAACUGCCACUGUGACAAGAUGAGAACUAAGGGCUUUCUUCCAAAACCACCCCUCAUCUGAGCCAUAAAUACCCAUCAAAGGGGAUCAGAGAGAAAAAUAAUCUCAUCUCUAAACCCAAGAGGGUUUCUGGGAAAAACCUACUGCAUUGUACUGAUGUGAAAAAUCAUGAUGCAAUCACACUCUACCAAGAGGAUCUCCCAAAAGAGUAGUUUAUCCUAUUAAUUCCUUUUUGCUUAUUUAAUUUUCAAUUUUAAUUGUGUAGAACAGGCAAAUAAAAAUGAAUGAUUGAUGUUUUUUGAAAUGUACAAAACUUGAAAAGUAGGCACUUCUCUUAACAUAUCUUUUACAUUAUUUACAUCACUUUGCACUCAGAGCUGCUCACUGUGGUGCAGAGUCCUGUGAUUUAUGAGGGGCAAGAGUUUCACAAAUGGGAAUGGGACACUUUUUCUUCCCCUCCUCUUUUUUCUCAUAUUAGAAUAACAACAACAAACACACAAAACACGAUAAAAUUAUCUCAGUGCCUCUUAGAUUUCCUAGUUUUGCCUCUGUUUUCUAGCAUCAUAUUCUUAUGUGUAUUAUUCAGGAGGGAAAGUUUUCUACUUGGCUACAGUAAUUUCAUCUUCCUUCCUCAUAGCUUCAGCAACAAAAACAUCUCAGCUUGUGGGCUCAUAAAGGCAGAAUUAACAAGAAUAUACACGUAUAUACUGAGCCACACGAAUCCUGAUCACAGAUACAGAUAGGAGCACACACAGGCACAGAUACAGUCAUCUUCUACUUCCCUUAUUCAUUGUGAAGUCCAACUGGAAGUACUUAGCAGAGGGAUAUGAAGAAAGUGUGCAGGAUAUGGGUCUGGAACUUGGAGAAAGAAGAAAAUUUCAGUUCUGAGGGUCAAAUGAGUUUGUGCUGCUUUUUGUAAAAUAGCAGGAGCAUAAGUCAGCAUUUUCAGGAUUUAUUUUCAAUUUUAAGUGUUUUAAAAUGAGACUGAGCAUGAUGAUUUCUCAAAUCCAGACCCCUUGCUCCAGUCACAUGAAAUGCAGCCCAAUCAAUAACAGCUCUAAUUUUUUAAAAUCACACAUUUUGACUAUGAUGGUGCUUGCCUUUUGGCAACGCUAUUGGCUGUGAAGUCUCAGCUGAAAGGGUGCGCACUCACAAUUUAGCCACCUUCCUGUCAAUACAAUAAAUUGACCAGGAGGAAAGGGAAGAAAUUUUUCAGUAAUUUUUUGCAACAUGAAUUCAUUCUUUGCCAGGGAAAACAAUGGGAAAACACACAUGUAUUUGAUGGCCUCAUUCCCUGAAUAAUGAGUUUUUGAUGCUUUUUGUACAAUAGCAGGAGCUUAAGUCAGCAUUUUCAGGAUUUAUUUUCAAUUUUCAGUGAUUUAAACUUAAGACUGAGUUUAAGAUGACCGUGAUGAUGAAAUGUCCCAUGAGCCCUCACAUCUCUAUAUUCUGAUACAUUAGAAUAGAUUUCUAGUGCAAGAAGGAUAUGUCUGCAAGGAUACAGAAGAACUUAAUUGAACAGAGGCCUUGACACAACACUAGUGGUGUCCAUUCCAGCAGGAAUAGAGGGAAGUGAGUUGGGCGAGGAAAGUUGAGUAAGGUUCUCUCAGAUUUUAGAGAUUGGAGCAGGAAAAUAAACAGGAGACUUCUUUAUAUUUUAUAUAAAUAUAAAGCAGACUCCUGUAUUGGAAGGCAAAGCAGAAACAAGAACAAAGUACCUGAGAGGAGGCACAGGACAGCAUUCAGAAAUAAGUGGGAAAGAACCAGCUAAAAACAAAUAACAAGUGGCUGGGUCAUUUCCGCCACUUGCACUCAUGGAUGAACAUACAUGUCAAUAAGGUCUGCAGUAAUUUGCAAUAUUACAGGACACUCUGGGAGAUGUAUUUGUUCCCAGAGGUUAAAAAACUGACUGUUCAAUACAAUACACUGAUGGCAUCACUGUAUCAGUCUAAAGAAAACAACAAAAAAGCACUGGAGGAGAGACUAAGCUCACCCCCCACUACUCAAUGGAAUAGAACUCCCCACAGUGUACAGAGUCACGAUGUGUUCAGUUCAGUGCUUCCCAAUCAACAAGCAGGAGCAGACAGCCCAGGCCCUGUCAGUGCUCAGGGGAAAUAGCCAAACCCACUGAACGGCAUUUACCAGCGGUUACAAGCCUUAGCAAAAACGGCCAAGUCAGCACAUCCUUUGACCUAAAUCAACAAAACAAAGUGCUUGGGAGAAGCACUGUCGUAUCCGCAGUGGACAGCAUCUUUCCAAGAUGAAUGCCCAAGUUUUAUUCCCCUUUUAGAUGCCGCAAAUGGUUUUUGGCAGAUGCUUCUACACCCAGAUGGCGCCAAGUUAACUACUUUUAUUAUGCCUUUUGGAUGGUAAUCCUUCCACAGACUUCCUUUUGGCAUUGCUACUGCACCCAAUAUAUUCCAAAGGAAAUGACAAAGCUACUGCAGCACCUGGAAAGGGAUAGUUGCUUGUACAGACAAAGUCCUGGGAUAUUGCCAUUGGGAAGAGAAAUAUGAUAAAAGCCAGUCUAGAUUUCCAGAGACACUUGGUAUUCAGGUCUGAAAGGCAAUAAAGACUGGACUACAUCAAAACUAGCUAAACAACUGAGAUAACACACAUGAACACAAGGCAUUAAGGAAGACUGAGGAAGGGUAAAUGGGCCUAAGAAAGUAAUAAAUUAAUGCAAACUCCUGGAUCUAUGUCAAAGUGAAAUGAAGACUAGGUUAUGAGUAGCAUAUAUAUCCUUGUUAUGAACUCCUGGCAAAUGACAUCAACUGAUAUUUGAAUAUAAUACAAGAAUAUGUUUUCAACUGAGUGGAAGCCCCACCUGAAGCACAUAAUUCUCCUUUCCUGUAGCCACUCAGAGACACCUGCAACAUACAACCCAGUCAGACUGGUGGGGCUGCUACAUACUACUGCUAGACAUUGCUGAUGAUAUAAAUCACUCUCUGCAGACUGAGAACUGUCUCAUUGUGAAAGAAACAUGUGAAAAAUGUAGGAAAAAAGCUCUUCCAGAGAGUUAAUUCAACUUUUGACUGACCACAAACCACUUGUACCCCUGAUAAAUAAGAAAGACUUGGAUCAUGUGCCAGUGACUUGUCAAGCCCUACUUAGAGCUUAACUAGGUACAAUCCGCAGACAUAAUACAGUGUUGUGCCUGGCACAGCCUUGCCCACUGGCACUACCCUGCCCAGAUACUUUGCAAAUGUGACAGAUGUAUGAAUAUUGCAAAUCAUUGAGGAAAUUAAGGCUUUAUGAGAGAGGCCUUCAAGCCUUAAAACCUGCACCCGAUUUAUACUUAAAACACAUCUGAUCGGCUAAUACCAAAAAUGUAGAGCUGCAGUAUUAGAGUGUGGGAAAAGUGACUGCCUUAAGUGCAGUAGAAUCAUAUCCUUAUUCCAGAAAGAAGUAACAUUUCAGAGCCAACAUGAUUAUCCCAGCAAAAAUAUCCCUGUGGUACUUCAUUACUGAGAAUUAUGAAUAAACUGAGAUGUCCGUUCAGUGGUGUGCCACAGGCAGAAGACAUCUGCUCUUUCUAGCUAUGCCUGUGUGCCAUUGCCUGUGAAACACAAAGACUACUGCAGUCUCCCACUGAAGGCUGAGAUACCUGCUUAGAUCCUCUGAGUUCGGCACAUUCCUCACAAAUGACCUCCUGACCCAGUCCUUUCCCACGGGAAAAGGACUAUGUUGUAUUAGGGCAGUAGUGCUGGAGCACGAGUGGAGAAACACAAUUACUUCCCAUUUAUUCGUGAUUCUCUUGGCUAGUUAUUAUCCUUUAACACAGUGACUUCUAAACUGGAAUGUCUUUACUCAAAUGUUUUAAGGUUUAAGCCUUCCAGCAAUGCACUUUACAUCUCUAUCUGACAUUUUGUCUCUCUCUUCGCUCUCCUGGAAUUCUUGCUUUUAGCAACCACAUCCCUGGUUUUUGAUUCCCGGAAAAAAAAAUCUCCUUUCUCAUGGUGUCUUGCUCGAUCAUUGAAGUUGACAGGCCAAAAGCUUCCCACCAAGAUCUUGUUGGCUUUUUUGGCAUCCCACUUCUCCACAUCUGUUAUUUUAUAUAGCUAUCCAUAAUAUUACAAUUAUUGUGCCAGUAGCUUGUCCUCUUCAUAUCCACACUAUAUCUCUCACAGAUUUCUCCCCAAAUGGGUGCCUUCUCUGCUACAUUAGUUACUCCGGUCCCCAAAAAUCCAUCUGAGAGCUCUAUUUUUCCAAAACCAUAAAUCACCAGGGCUCAAAAUACCUAACAGCCUUAUACAUCAUAAAAUUAAUGACCAGAAAGUAAUGCAUUCAUAACUUGUGAUUGAAGGCCAAUGAUAGUGACACAAGAAACUUUCCUUUCCUCCAUGCUGUUGCAGCUAAGUAGCAUCCAGAAACUUGAUGAUGAGCUAAUGAUUGAUGCCCAAAAAAACAGAAAUUAUUGCUCUUUUUCACAGAAUUAUCAGCAUUACUUUUUAUUUAUAUUGAAGUGAGCUUCUGUUUGUAGACCUUAAAGUGUACUCCACUCCCUUACAAAUCAGAACACAACAACCCAUGUGUCUCAGAUUAUAUACCAUCCUUUGCCCACAAUCUAAAAAUUUGCCUUGAAAUGAUGACAACUAGAAGACAGGGAUAAAAGAAGAGGCAUCCCCAAAGAGAGGAACAUCAUCAAGGAGCCAUACCCAUUUUUUACGAUAUUCAGUAACACAAAAUAACUAAGUCUACAGAAGGCAAUUGGGCAUAAUCAUAACAUGUGUUCUUAUUCUAUGUAGGAUAAAAACUAACAUUUAUUGCCUACUUAGCAUUCAUACUCAUUCUACUAAAAUUUUGCUCACAGUCUCAUUUCAUCUGUGCAAUUUGCUGGGCCCUGGCUACUGCCUACUGGACAUUGCUCAUCACUGUACAGAAUUUUUGGGGAGAGGGGAAGGCAAACAGAUGAACAGGCCCCGCGGCUUCUCAACCCACAGCUGAAACAGAGGGAUAACCCAGGCCUAUGGGUUUUAAACCACCAUAACAGUACCACUUUUCCCCUUAUUCUACCCUUUCUAUAACAGUUUUCUAUACUAUCUCCUAUAUUAUCUCACACUGCAUGUCCCACUUGAAACAUUUACUCAUGGGUCUACAAUGGUAUAUAGGAUUUGCAAUUGUUUAUUGGGUGAGCACCAGCCAAGGUCAAACCACUACAGUCUGUCAGAGGGACAGGUCUAUGAUUUGUGACACCUUACAGGAAAAGUCUAGUUUUUUCUCACAAUGUCAGUAUUAAAAGCAAAAUAGGGUACAUUUUUAGCCAAAUCUCACAAUCAAUAAAUCCCCCCACCCCCCCCCCCAAAAAAAAAAAAAA